AGAUCUUCAGGAUGAAAGCAAGUAAAAUGAGAAGAUAAUCUGAAUCCAAACAAACUAACAUAAGCACCAAUAAAGGAAACUCAAGAUCACCUUGACAAUGAUUGCUCCAUUUGAACCAUUUGAGAGAGAACAGCAGAGCAAUUUUACCAAGGACUAAAUAGUUUCAAAUGGGCUGAGAUACUGAUUCCAGACAGCCAAAUGACCAUUAAAACAGAGAUGGGCGGUUGUGGAAUAUGAAACUAAUUUGAGAAAUGUGUAUUUUGACAUUUUUUAUUACACAAGCAGUCAUACACACUCUAACAUUUCCUUUGAGAUAUGGGGAAAAGUUAUUCUUGCCACAGAAAUGAAAGGGCAGUUGAAGAGGGAAACUCAUUUAUAUAGAUUUUCAAGUGACUAUGAUAAAACCAACAAUACCAAAAUGAUAUAAGUGGGGGAAACGGUAUGUGCAGGAAGCCACUUAGCAUCUGACCUUUGCCAGUCUAAUCAUCUCAGAGACACCAGGAGUCGACACAAAAUCAAGUAAACACACAGAGCUGGGAAAAAUUAGAAAAUGUUAAAAAGCUACAUUGCACUUCAAAUCAAGUAAUAGUAUAGUAAUAUCUUGGUACCUAAAAUCAUAUCUAGGCAAAAUAUUUAAAAUUCUUUUGGAUAAUUUGAACUUGUUGUGUUAAAUAAAGAAUAACAUUGCUUAGCUAUGUAGAUUUCAAUCUGCAGCAGUUUGGUUGAAUAUAGUUCCUGAUGUAGCACAUAGAAACCAAGUAAUACACAUUUGCAUAAUUAAUAAAAUUAUAUAUUUAGUUUAAUUUCAUAUAACAUUCUAAUAAGGCAAUAUAUUAUUACAAUUUUAUAGCACAGUAUUUCAUUGUUGGAAGUGAAAUCAUUUACCUUAACAUAUAUUUUGUAUAAUGAAUCAAGUCAUUAUUAAAAGAAGGGGUCAAGGGAUCUUACAGGUUUUAAACAAGCUGUUGUUAAAUACACUGUGAAUUAAAUUUGCAAGUAUCAAGCAUUUGUUUGAUUAUAUUCUUGGAACACUAUAGCUCAACACAAAAAUGGAAAACAAAAUGUACAAAACCAAAAAGUAGUACUAGAAGUGCUCCUGCUCUUGAAUUUUUAUUAGUUUCCUAACUAAAUAUUCAAUUCUAGCGGUAUAAUUCCAAUAGUCUAUAGAUUCUAUAUAUGGCUGAGAAAACUCAUUUGUAAAGUCUUUUUUUGUAGCAUAAAAAUAACUCUUGGUCCCAUUUAUCUGUACCUUCCUUUUUUUUUUUUUACAAAAAUAUGAAGUUGUAGUUGAAAUUGUAUCUAUACAGUUCUUGCCAAUUAUACUAUUAUUCACAUGCCACUUCAAGAAUGUCACCUUACAGUUCUGUGGUUAUCAUUUGCAAAGUCUGCAAUGCCUUUGCCUUAGAGGCUAUGCAAAUUUUUGUUAGAUAUAAGCCUUCUCAUUUCUGAUUUCAGGAAGUCAACAUAACCCAUCUGCUGCUUUCACUUCCCAGCUGUAUGCAACUAUGCCAAAUUGCUCUAAGUUGAGCUUUAUACUGUUUUCGUAGGCUAUCUUUUACCCACCGUGCUUACAUUUUCCUUGUGUAAUUCACCCUAGACACAGGUGCAGAUGGCAUGUAGAGAAGAGCAAUGCAUUUGGGAACAUGUAAUAUUUGGCUUGCAAGGGCUUUGACAGAACUUCGAAUUAUAGUUCUAAAAAGUGAAUUAAUUUAGUGAAG
This 1718-nucleotide long non-coding RNA is filed under the name Homo sapiens (human). Its description in RNAcentral is "HSALNT0085595". The record is from RNAcentral. Lineage: Eukaryota; Metazoa; Chordata; Mammalia; Primates; Hominidae.